This 717-nucleotide long non-coding RNA is filed under the name Phoenix dactylifera (date palm). RNAcentral's name for it is "long non-coding RNA (PDAC_LNC017632)". The record is from RNAcentral. Lineage: Eukaryota; Viridiplantae; Streptophyta; Magnoliopsida; Arecales; Arecaceae.
UAAGAUGAUGACGCAUAUUCUCAAGAGUUGAGAAUUUGAGGCAUGUGUCAUUGGUGAUUAAUUUCUGAAUUGCUCCUGAUCGAUGGAUCAUCACGAGGACGGUGAUCGAUCCACUGAGAUUAGUGCACAGAUCGCUUUCUUUGAUGGACGAGUCUUGAGUCCACAGGCGACACUGGAGCAAUUGUGCAAGUGCUUGUUAGAGAACAAGGGUACUGAACGUGGCCAUAGCAAGUAGUCACUUGGAUGUCUAUCCACUCGUCAGUGACUUACUUGAUGCUGCAGUUGUAUGACUGGUCCUUUGACCUGCGAUGCCUCGGCUAUUCACAGUGAGGUUGCUGUAGUUUGACGAGCACAUAAACAUGAGCCCUAGCCAAUUGGGUUCUUGUGGUGCAGAUUGGCUGCAGUAGGUUUAUUGUAGGAGUAGGGGUGCAUCUAGAUGGAAUCUAUCGACCUUGAUAGGUUAAGAGAGAUCCUAUGUGAUUUAUGAGACUGAGUUCGUAAAUCCUCGGCCGGGGUAGUAUGUAUAGUGAAAAAGGAGUUUUCCACUCUCGAACUUAAGUCGAAUAAAUUUUGACAUAUGACAGACGAUAGGGGUUUGACGAGUUAUCCAUGACCUCGUCUUGUCGGGAUCUACGAUAGAGGGAUUGUAUCAUACACUAACUACACCUAGAGGUUCAUCAUUCCAUUUUGCUGGGUUGCCACUACAUGCUGCUAGGU